GACGAACGCUGGCGGCGUGCUUAACACAUGCAAGUCGAGCGAUGAAGCACCCUCGGGUGUGAAUUAGCGGCGAACGGGUGAGGAACACGUGAAGAAUCUGCCUUCAACUCUUGGAUAACUCCGGGAAACCGGGGCUAAUACCGGAUAUGAGCCUUGAUCGCAUGAUCGGGGCUGGAAAGUUUUUCGGUUGAAGAUGACUUCGCGGCCUAUCAGCUUGUUGGUGAGGUAAUGGCGCACCAAGGCGACGACGGGUAGCCGGCCUGAGAGGGCGACCGGCCACACUGGGACUGAGACACGGCCCAGACUCCUACGGGAGGCAGCAGUGGGGAAUAUUGGGCAAUGGAGGAAACUCAGACCCAGCGACGCCGCGUGAGGGAUGAAGGCCUUCGGGUUGUAAACCUCUUUCAGUAGGGAAGAAGCGAAAGUGACGGUACCUACAGAAGAAGCACCGGCUAACUAUGUGCCAGCAGCCGCGGUAA
This 479-nucleotide ribosomal RNA is filed under the name uncultured bacterium. RNAcentral describes it as "partial 16S ribosomal RNA". It matches the Rfam family "Bacterial small subunit ribosomal RNA", at positions 28 to 523 of the family's 1533-position model. The record is from RNAcentral.